GCUGACACAUCCCGGCCAAUCUCCAGCAGACCCUUCCUCCCAGACCCUCCCACCUCCUGGACAGCAUCCAUGUUGAAGGCAGCUUCAACAUGGAUGCUAUCCAGGAGGUGGGAGGGUCUGGGAGGGAGGGUCUGCUGGAGAUUGGCUGGGAUGUGUCAG
Non-coding RNA from Pelobates cultripes (western spadefoot toad), 159 nucleotides. Lineage: Eukaryota; Metazoa; Chordata; Amphibia; Anura; Pelobatidae. The record is from the annotation of a GenBank genome assembly.